GGGUCGAUGCCCGAGCGGUUAAUGGGGACGGACUGUAAAUCCGUUGGCAAAGAAAAUAUGUCUACGCUGGUUCAAAUCCGGCUCGGCCCA
RNAcentral lists this transfer RNA (90 nucleotides) under Galphimia angustifolia. RNAcentral's name for it is "tRNA-Tyr". It matches the Rfam family "tRNA". From Rfam's summary of the family: Transfer RNA (tRNA) molecules are approximately 80 nucleotides in length. Their secondary structure includes four short double-helical elements and three loops (D, anti-codon, and T loops). Further hydrogen bonds mediate the characteristic L-shaped molecular structure. tRNAs have two regions of fundamental functional importance: the anti-codon, which is responsible for specific mRNA codon recognition, and the 3' end, to which the tRNAs corresponding amino acid is attached (by aminoacyl-tRNA synthetases). tRNAs cope with the degeneracy of the genetic code in two manners: having more than one tRNA (with a specific anti-codon) for a particular amino acid; and 'wobble' base-pairing, i.e. permitting non-standard base-pairing at the 3rd anti-codon position. The record is from RNAcentral. Lineage: Eukaryota; Viridiplantae; Streptophyta; Magnoliopsida; Malpighiales; Malpighiaceae.